This is a long non-coding RNA of Lates calcarifer (barramundi perch), 659 nucleotides long. RefSeq lists it as uncharacterized. The record is from RefSeq and is a predicted model, not a curated record. The transcript is spliced from 3 exons. Lineage: Eukaryota; Metazoa; Chordata; Actinopteri; Centropomidae.
GACGGACAACACUCUCUGUUUCUUACUUUUUUCUUUGUAAAUAAGCAGAAAUGCAUUUAUAUCGAUACAGUUAGUUAUAUAAAGACAUUACAGCAUGCUCAUGUUUAUAAAACACUUGUGUGGACAUGGCUGUGUCUAUAUUAAGUGCGUUCCUAUAUAGUAAUUGGGAUAAUGUAUCUAUAAAUGUUGGUGUUUACUUUAAUGGUGUAACUUCAGAGCAGCCUCUCGGACAGCGUGUGUGGCAGGCUACGUGUGGGGAUGCUGCAGAUUGCUGCGCCCUGCCAGGAAAAUCCACCACAAAACCUGGACCGGAGUUCAGUCUGCAGCUCAGGACCGGACCAGGACCAGGGCCCCAGAUGGUCCUUUGCACAUGUUUUCUUCUCAUUGGUCCGGGGUCCCGGGCUGACAGCGCUGCAGCUCUAUAAGGGUGCUCUGUGCCUCCACUAGGUUUCUCCUCAGGCCCUUACACACUGAAGAGAGACUGCAGGGGAUGAACAAUGCACAAGGAGGAGCAGGUCUGCACGAAUGCUGUACACAUUCAGUCACUGCUGAGUGCACAGUGCAGACCUGUGAUGAACCCUCUGGCAGUUUGAUUCCACAUCACCUGAGCAAAUACUGUUUGGUGCACCAGGAGAGGCAUAUAUAUGUCUUUGAAUUAA